This 103-nucleotide transfer RNA is filed under the name Gaiellaceae bacterium. Its description in RNAcentral is "tRNA-Ile". It matches the Rfam family "tRNA". From Rfam's summary of the family: Transfer RNA (tRNA) molecules are approximately 80 nucleotides in length. The record is from RNAcentral. Lineage: Bacteria; Bacillati; Actinomycetota; Thermoleophilia; Gaiellales; Gaiellaceae.
GGGCCCGUAGCUCAGCUGGUCAGAGCAGCCGACUCAUAAUCGGUUCUGCCCGAACGUGCUGGCGUACGUUCGGGUGGGAGUACGCUCUCGACCGAGCGGGCCC